CAGUCGCCGCGGGAAUACAGAGGGUGCGAGCGUUAAUCGGAUUUACUGGGCGUAAAGCGUGCGUAGGCGGAUAAUUGAGUCGGAUGUGAAAUCCCCGAGCUUAACUUGGGAAUUGCAUUCGAUACUGGUUAGCUAGAGUGUGGGAGAGGAUGGUAGAAUUCCAGGUGUAGCGGUGAAAUGCGUAGAGAUCUGGAGGAAUACCGAUGGCGAAGGCAGCCAUCUGGCCUAACACUGACGCUGAGGUACGAAAGCAUGGGGAGCAAACAGGAUUAGAUACCCCCGUAGUCCCUGUCUCUUAUAC
This 301-nucleotide ribosomal RNA is filed under the name uncultured bacterium. RNAcentral describes it as "partial 16S ribosomal RNA". It matches the Rfam family "Bacterial small subunit ribosomal RNA", at positions 509 to 807 of the family's 1533-position model. The record is from RNAcentral.